CCUACGGGUGGCAGCAGUGAGGAAUAUUGGUCAAUGGACGCGAGUCUGAACCAGCCAAGUAGCGUGAAGGAUGGCUGCCCUAUGGGUUGUAAACUUCUUUUAUAAAGGAAUAAAAUGAGGCACGUGUGCCUUUUUGUAUGUACUUUAUGAAUAAGAAUCGGCUAACUCCGUGCCAGCAGCCGCGGUAAUACGGAGGAUCCGAGCGUUAUCCGGAUUUAUUGGGUUUAAAGGGAGCGUAGAUGGGUUGUUAAGUCAGUUGUGAAAGUUUGCGGCUCAACCGUAAAAUUGCAAGUGAUACUGGCAGUCUUGAGUACAGUUGAGGUAGGCAGAAUUCGUGGUGUAGCGGUGAAAUGCUUAGAUAUCACGAAGAACCCCGAUUGCGAAGGCAGCUUACUAAACUGUGACUGACAUUGAUGCUCGAAAGUGUGGGUAUCAAACAGGAUUAGAUACCCCAGUAGUC
RNAcentral lists this ribosomal RNA (460 nucleotides) under uncultured bacterium. RNAcentral describes it as "partial 16S ribosomal RNA". It matches the Rfam family "Bacterial small subunit ribosomal RNA", at positions 338 to 795 of the family's 1533-position model. The record is from RNAcentral.